Molecule: ribosomal RNA, 442 nt
Filed under: uncultured Prevotella sp.
Lineage: Bacteria; Pseudomonadati; Bacteroidota; Bacteroidia; Bacteroidales; Prevotellaceae
Description: bacterial SSU rRNA
Rfam family: Bacterial small subunit ribosomal RNA
Source: RNAcentral
UGAGGAAUAUUGGUCAAUGGGCGGAAGCCUGAACCAGCCAAGUAGCGUGCAGGACGACGGCCCUAUGGGUUGUAAACUGCUUUUAUGCGGGGAUAAAGUGGGCCACGUGUGGCCUUUUGCAGGUACCGCAUGAAUAAGGACCGGCUAAUUCCGUGCCAGCAGCCGCGGUAAUACGGAAGGUCCGGGCGUUAUCCGGAUUCAUUGGGUUUAAAGGGAGCGUAGGCCGCCCUUUAAGCGUGUUGUGAAAUGUAGGGGCUCAACCCCUGCACUGCAGCGCGAACUGGAGGGCUUGAGUACACGCAAGGCAGGCGGAAUUCGUGGUGUAGCGGUGAAAUGCUUAGAUAUCACGAAGAACCCCGAUUGCGAAGGCAGCUUGCCGGAGUGUGACUGACGCUGAAGCUCGAAAGCGCGGGUAUCGAACAGGAUUAGAUACCCUGGUAGU